Molecule: ribosomal RNA, 886 nt
Filed under: Hexagrammos octogrammus (masked greenling)
Lineage: Eukaryota; Metazoa; Chordata; Actinopteri; Perciformes; Hexagrammidae
Description: partial 16S rRNA
Rfam family: Bacterial large subunit ribosomal RNA (bases 191-886)
Source: RNAcentral
UGCCUAACAGCUAGCCCACCCAAACAAUUUCAACAAACCCCUGUUAAUAACCCCUAAGUACCCCAGUAUUUAUUUUAAACAAACCAUUUUUCCCCCCUAGUAUAGGCGAUAGAAAAGGGCCCACGGCGCAAUAGAGAAAGUACCGCAAGGGAACGCUGAAAGAGAAGUGAAACAACCCAGUAAAGCCUAAAAAAGCAGAGAUCUAAACUCGUACCUUUUGCAUCAUGAUUUAGCAAGUGUAACCCAAGCAAAGCGUACUUUAGUUUGACGUCCCGAAACUAGGUGAGCUACUCCAAGACAGCCUAUCAAUAGGGCGUACCCGUCUCUGUGGCAAAAGAGUGGGGAGAGCUUUGAGUAGAGGUGACAAACCUACCGAACCUAGUUAUAGCUGGUUGUCCAAGAAAUGAAUAGAAGUUCAGCCUUUCAGCUUCUCUUUUCACCUUAGUCUGACCCCUAUUGAUGCAUUAAAGAAACCGAAAGAGUUAGUCAAAGGGGGUACAGCCCCUUUGAAUCAAGACACAACUUUACCAGGAGGGUAAAGAUCAUAAUAAUUAAAGCUAAAUGUUCGGGUGGGCCUAAAAGCAGCCAUCCCCUUAGAAAGCGUUAAAGCUCAGACAUGCGACUAUCCUUCUUAUCCUGAUCACUCAAUCUUACCCCCCUAACCGUACUGGACCAUCCCAUGCCAACAUGGGAGUGACUAUGCUGAAAUGAGUAAUAAGAGAGCUACCGGCUCUCUCCCUGCACACGUGUAUAUCGGAACGGACAACCCACCGAACCUUAACGGCCCCAAAUAAAGAGGGCAGUGGAUGUUAGACCAAAAAACUAGAAAAGUAUCCAAAAACCAACCGUUAAACCCACACAGGUGUGCCCCCAGGGAAAGACUAAA